This 904-nucleotide ribosomal RNA is filed under the name uncultured bacterium. RNAcentral's name for it is "bacterial SSU rRNA". It matches the Rfam family "Bacterial small subunit ribosomal RNA", at positions 505 to 1398 of the family's 1533-position model. The record is from RNAcentral.
GUGUCAGCCGCCGCGGUAAUACGAAGGGCCCGAGCGUUAAUCGGAAUCACUGGGCUUAAAGGGUGCGUAGGCGGGCCCACCAGUGUCAUGUGAAAUCCCACGGCUCAACCGUGGAACUGCUUGGCAUACUGUGGGCCUAGAGGUUGGCAGAGGUCGCCGGAACUCUAGGUGUAGCGGUGAAAUGCGUAGAUAUUCUAGAGGAACGCCCAAGGCGAAGGCAGGCGGCUGGGCCGAUUCUGACGCUGAGGCACGAAAGCAUGGGUAGCGAACGGGAUUAGAUACCCCGGUAGUCNAUGCUGUAAACGAUGUGCACUUGAUCCCGGAGACUCUGACGUCAUCGGGGUCGGAGCAAAAGUCUUAAGUGCACCGCCUGGGGAGUACGGUCGCAAGGCUAAAACUCAAAGGAAUUGACGGGGGCUCACACAAGCGGUGGAGCAUGUGGCUUAAUUCGAAGCAACGCGAAGAACCUUAUCCAGGGUUUGACAUGCACGGAUUAACCCCGAGAAACCGGGGCCACGCCCUUGUGGUGGAACGUGCACAGGUGCUGCAUGGCUGUCGUCAGCUCGUGCUGUGAAGUGUCGGGUUAAGUCCCUUAACGAGCGAAACCCUUGCCGCUAGUUGCCAGCGGGUAAUGCCGGGGACUCUAGCGGGACUGCCGGUGUCAAACCGGAGGAAGGUGGGGGACGACGUCAAGUCCUCAUGGCCUUUAUGCCCUGGGCUGCACACGUGCUACAAUGGCGAGUACAGAGCGACGCGAUGCCGCGAGGCGGAGCAAAUCGCAAAAAACUCGCCCCAGUUCGGAUAGCAGUCUGCAACUCGACUGCUUGAAGGUGGAAUCGCUAGUAAUCGCGUAUCAGCUACGACGCGGUGAAUGUGUUCCUGAGCCUUGCACACACCGCCCGUC